ACGGAAGGCAGCAGUGGGGAAUAUUGCACAAUGGGGGAAACCCUGAUGCAGCGACGCCGCGUGAGUGAAGAAGUAUUUCGGUAUGUAAAGCUCUAUCAGCAGUGAAGAAAAUGACGGUACCUGACUAAGAAGCCCCGGCUAACUACGUGCCAGCAGCCGCGGUAAUACGUAGGGGGCAAGCGUUAUCCGGAUUUACUGGGUGUAAAGGGUGCGUAGGCGGCACGGCAAGUCAGAAGUGAAAUCCCAGGGCUUAACCCUGGAACUGCUUUUGAAACUGUCGAGCUAGAGUACAGGAGAGGUAAGCGGAAUUCCUAGUGUAGCGGUGAAAUGCGUAGAUAUUAGGAUGAACACCAGUGGCGAAGGCGGCUUACUGGACUGACACUGACGCUGAGGCACGAAAGCGUGGGGAGCAAACAGGAUUAGAUACCCUGGUA
RNAcentral lists this ribosomal RNA (434 nucleotides) under uncultured Coprococcus sp. Its description in RNAcentral is "partial 16S ribosomal RNA". It matches the Rfam family "Bacterial small subunit ribosomal RNA", at positions 341 to 792 of the family's 1533-position model. The record is from RNAcentral. Lineage: Bacteria; Bacillati; Bacillota; Clostridia; Lachnospirales; Lachnospiraceae.